RNAcentral lists this long non-coding RNA (209 nucleotides) under Nicotiana benthamiana. RNAcentral's name for it is "long non-coding RNA (NBEN_LNC033752)". The record is from RNAcentral. Lineage: Eukaryota; Viridiplantae; Streptophyta; Magnoliopsida; Solanales; Solanaceae.
UAUUUAUGUUGCUUAUGUUUUCAUGAGUACUUACAUUAUUAUUGCAGGAGUACCUAUGCUUUAUUAUUUUGUUUUGUUUUGCUUGUGUUUCUAAUAUUACCUUUGUUUUCGUAAUGCAGCUUUCCCUCUUUUUAUCCUACACGCCGAGGGUCGUUUGGAAACAGCCUCUUUGCCCUUACGGGCAGGGGUAAGGCUCGUCUACAUAUUAC